CUGCAGAGCCGGUCCGGGCAGGAGAGAAAGAAGCAACCAGCCAGUCGGUGGAGCAGCUGGAGGCUCGGGUGCAGACCAAGGACCAGGAGAUCCAGACUUUGAAGAAUCAGAGCACUGGCCCACGAGAGGCUCCUGACACCGCCGAGCGGGAGGAGACACAGCAGCAGGUUCAGGACCUGGAGACCCGGAAUGCAGAACUGGAGCAGCAGCUGCGGGCGAUGGAAAGCAACCUGGAGGAGGCGCGGGCCGAGCGGGAGCGCGCACGAGCAGAGGCUGGCCCACACAUACGAUUUCACACUCCCUGCGCACCACGUUGACCUGUGUGAGGAUCUGCAGGACCUGGGCCUCCUCCACUGCCAAUUCAGCCAGCUGCUGUUCUGCAGGGACAGGAACCUGGGUUAGGCUGGGGUGCAGCUGGCCCUCCUUGCCCCCCUAGCUCUGGAGGUCUGGAUCCAGCCACAUGUGGACUAUGCUGCCAAGCCUGGUAGCACAUGCUCGUCAUCACAGCCCUGGGAGGUGGAGGCAGGAGAUCCCUCCUUUCAGCUGUGUUCCAGGCCAGCUCUGUAGAGCAAUUACCCUCUGUCUCGAAUGAAUGAAUGAAUAAACAAAUGAAC
Molecule: long non-coding RNA, 614 nt
Filed under: Rattus norvegicus (Norway rat)
Lineage: Eukaryota; Metazoa; Chordata; Mammalia; Rodentia; Muridae
Description: long non-coding RNA NONRATT011878
Source: RNAcentral